GAUGAACGCUGGCGGCGUGCCUAAUACAUGCAAGUCGAGCGGCAACAUGCGCUUCACUUUGCGCGGAACGCAAAGGAAUCUAGAGGUUAGAUGUUAGAUUUUAGAAUAGCUACAGGGAGCAGAAUUCUAGAAUCUAAAAUCUAUAUUCUAGAUUCUAAUACGUAACACGCAGUGUGAAGUGUGAUGGCGAGCGGCGGACGGGUGAGUAACGCGUAGGAAUCUACCCAAGUGAGGGAUAACUGCUCGAAAGAGUAGCUAAUACCGCAUAUGAUCUAAGGAUUAAGACUUCGGUCGCUAUGGGAAGAGCCUGCGUUUGAUUAGCUAGUUGGUAGGUAAUGGCCUACAAGGCGACGAUCAAUAGCUGGUUUGAGAGGAUGAU
This 379-nucleotide ribosomal RNA is filed under the name uncultured bacterium. RNAcentral's name for it is "bacterial SSU rRNA". It matches the Rfam family "Bacterial small subunit ribosomal RNA", at positions 28 to 304 of the family's 1533-position model. The record is from RNAcentral.